This 206-nucleotide unclassified non-coding RNA is filed under the name soil metagenome. RNAcentral describes it as "partial contains 5.8S ribosomal RNA, internal transcribed spacer 2, and large subunit ribosomal RNA". The record is from RNAcentral.
AAGACUAUAGACCUGCGGAGUACCUGCGGAAGGAUCAUUACCGAGUGAGGGCCCCCGGCCCGACCUCCAACCCUUUGUUGACAACACCCGUUGCCUCGGGGGCGACCCGGUCUCCGCGCCGGGGUCCCCGGUGGACCUUUGCAAAUCUGUGUCUAUACGUCGGAGUUACUUGAUGAAUUAAUCAAAACUUUUAACAACGGAUCUCU